UUCUGCAACAAUUCCUCGGCUUUGAUUUUCCUGCAAAUAAAAGAAACUUUCUAAAUAUAACAACACAACAAAUAUUUUUGUCUCAGAGCACUUAUCAUAGCUGCAGUCUGACUGUUGCUACCAGUUAAUGUCUCAUUUCUUUUGUCAAUCAAAAAUAAUGGAAAUACAGGCAUACAAUUAAGUUAGGACUUUGAAUGAAGGGGUUAUGUCUAUUUCUUGUCUUCUUUGGCUUGAGGCCAUUUUGAGUAACCAACUAUGGGUCUUUUAAAUAGUUAUUAUUAGGCAAUUGUGAACUUAUGUUUUGUGUGUGAAAUCCUCACCUGCCCUUGAUCCCAUCCAGCAGGGAAGCUAUUUGAAAAUGUAUUGCUGCCUUGGUUUUGAACAUACUACUCGUAACUACAACAGCCCCAAAUAAUCAUUUUCAAUGUAUUAGAAGGAGUAAUGGUGGCAAAGAAAGCAGAACUGCAAGUGGAGCUGCAGUGUUUACUUGUUGGUAGACAGAUGAAAAGGAGCAGGCUGUGUCCUCUUGGAAUCAAGCGCAAAGCACACUUCACUUCUGAUGACUGCAAAGCUUAACCCUGGCUAUGGUAUACUAAUGGGGGUUUUAUUGAUGAAUUAAUCAUGUAGUGGCACCCGAUGGAGCACAACUUGGCUAGCCAGGUGAAAACUUUAUUUUCUGCUCCUUUAUAUUAUAAGACAAGAACACAGAUUUUUCAAAACUAUUGUAUAUCGGCGGUGAACUUGCUUAACCAGCGUUUUUAAAAAUCAAUUAUUAUACACAAAGCAAGUGGGAGGAGACUCCUGGUGUAGGUGGAUGAUUUGUGUUGCUAACUAUGCUACCGGAGCCAUCUUCAUGUCUUUGAUAAAUCAGAAUAGCCCUGCUUGCUGAGGAUGUAUAAGGGCAAAGCACAGCAAGCUUGAUGAAGUACUGAGGAUAACUAAGGGCAGAGAGCUUAAAUGGGAGGCAUGAUUGUACAGGUUUUAAGGGCAGAUUACAUUAAGUGAGUUAAUGUGGCUAUCUAAGGACACAGAGCAUGCCCAGUAUGUGGCUGUGGCUUUUUAAACACUCAAAGCAUGCUUUUGUACACAGCUCCUUAUGCCACAUAAUCCCUAAAGAUGCCAUUUUAUGCCAUCUGGCUUUUGUUAUUCUCAGUCAGCAUUUCUAGAUUUUUUUUCCCACUGUGAAACAUGUUUCCCUUUCAUUUUGGAGUUAUUUUUUAUUUUGCUCAAAGCUUAUCCUGCAUACCAAUAAAUCAAAUCAUAUUUCAAUGGUUUAAGGCA
RNAcentral lists this long non-coding RNA (1281 nucleotides) under Chrysemys picta bellii (western painted turtle). RNAcentral describes it as "lncRNA (ENSCPBG00000010612.1)". Lineage: Eukaryota; Metazoa; Chordata; Testudines; Emydidae. The record is from RNAcentral.